This 448-nucleotide ribosomal RNA is filed under the name uncultured prokaryote. RNAcentral's name for it is "bacterial SSU rRNA". It matches the Rfam family "Bacterial small subunit ribosomal RNA", at positions 355 to 796 of the family's 1533-position model. The record is from RNAcentral.
UCGGGAAUCUUGCACAAUGGGCGAAAGCCUGAUGCAGCAACGCCGUGUGAGCGAGGAAGGCCUUAGGGUCGUAAAGCUCUGUUGUUGGGGACGAAGGGCGAAGGGUUAAUAGCCCCUAGCCUGACGGUACCCUUCGAGGAAGCCCCGGCUAACUACGUGCCAGCAGCCGCGGUAAUACGUAGGGGGCGAGCGUUGUCCGGUAUUAUUGGGCGUAAAGAGCGUGUAGGCGGCCUGGUAAGUCUGUCGUGAAAUCCUGGGGCUCAACCCUGGGCGAGCGGUGGAUACUGGUAGGCAAGAAGAUGGUAGAGGCGUGGCGAUUACCGGGAGUAGCGGCGAAAUGCAAAGAUCUCUAGAGGACUACCAGUAGCGAAGGUGGCUCGGUGUGGCAUUCCUAACGUUGAGACGCGAAAGCGAGGGUCGCAAACAGUAUUAGCUGCCGCCGUAGUUC